RNAcentral lists this long non-coding RNA (3150 nucleotides) under Homo sapiens (human). RNAcentral's name for it is "long non-coding RNA NONHSAT188810.1". The record is from RNAcentral. Lineage: Eukaryota; Metazoa; Chordata; Mammalia; Primates; Hominidae.
AAAAAAUCAUUCCCUCUUCUGACCUCCCAUGUCGAGACCAUUUAUAACAUGUUAGAACUCGAUUCCUAACAAGGAGGUGCCCGAUGAUCAAAUACACUUUUUUCCAGGGAACUUAAUUAUCCUCAUUCUAUUCAAUGACUGCAGCACCAUCCCCACCAUCAAUGAGCAUGAGCAGAUUAAUUCAUUUGACAAAUAUUUGCCAAGUACCUACAAGGCAUCGUUCUCCAUGAGCACAUAGCUGUAAACAAAACACAGCAGCAAAGGACCCUACCCUCUAGGUGAGGCAGGCAAUAGAAAAAUAAGGAGAUAAUAUGUGAGUCAUGACAAGCAUUUUGAAGACAAAAUAGUGGAAGGGGAUAAGGAGUAAUGGGGGUAAAGGAGGUGCUGCUCUUUUAUGUAGACCGGUCAAAGAGCAGAACCUGUAGAAAGUAAGUGAGCAUCGUGACCAGCUGGGAGAAGAGCAAUGCAGGAAGAAGACGCGGUUAGUGCAAAGGCCCCAGGAAGACUGUGCCUGAUGUGUUUGAGCAGCAGCGAUGAGGCCAGUGUGGCUGGGGCUGAGUGGGUGGGGUGGGAGAGUGUAAGAUGAUAUGGUCAGAGAGGCUGUGGGGGCAAGCCUUGUAGGACUGUAUAAAAACUUAGGCUUUGUAAGAGAGAUGGGAAAUCACAGGAACAUCAUGAUCUGAUUCAAAUUGUCACAGGAUCCCUCUGGCUGCAGUGUGGAGAGUGGCCUGUAGGGGACCAAGGGUGGAGACAGAGGGCCAGUGAGUAGGCUACUGCACCAGUCCAGGCAAACACUGAAGACCUGUGUAUAUGUGUUGUUCCCUCGGUCUGUCUCAGGUCUGUUGAAUAGUAAGAAUGCUUUGCUCUGUUGAAGAUGAUUCCGUUCUUUACAUAAGUAAUUAAAUGUCUUUCCUUUGCUGUUUCCUGAUACCUAAAUGCAGUAAUAUAUGCUCAUGAUAGAAAACUUAGAAAAUAAAGAAAAGCAUUAAACAAUAAAGAUUUCCAACUCCUACAACUCAAAGAAAACAGAUAAAUCAUCCUACUUUAGAGGACUAAAUGUACAGGAACUCAUUGAUUUGCUCAUCAAAAGGUGAAGAGGGAAGAGUAGCAGCCCCAGGUAGAGCUACCCAGCAGGCGAGGCUGCCCUCAGGAACCACAGCCUUCCCUUUCCUAAUGAUUUCUACUCUGUGGCACCCACACUUCCCUCCUCAGGGCUCUGGUGUUAUCCUCCUUCUGGGUCUCCAUCAUAUCUGCUCUCAGCAAAAGAUCCAGCUCAUUCAUCCAGCCCCAAGGGACAGGGCUUCACCUCCGGACAAGGGUGAGAUGAAUGAGGUCUUGGACACAGAAUUUAAGAAGUCAAAAACCUCAGCCAUCAAGAUAAAUCAUAUUAAAAUGCAAUGGUUUAAAAAAUUAAAAUUAAUUUUAAAAGUCCAUGAACAAAAUAUAAACAUUUAAAAUAAAGACAGGGUCCAACCUUGCACCUGCACAGUCCUGCCUUGCUCUCUGCACCCUAACCCAGCCCUGCUCAGCCCAAGAGCUUUGAAUCUGAAUACAAAUCAUUCCAGACUUCAAGAUCAAGUUAAAGUGUUAAUCGUCUACCAGAAUGUGAUUUCUAGCUUUAAAAAGAAAACCAAGAAAACAACUUCCACAUCAAUGCAAAGGUUUUCUCAUUUCACCAGGUUUUUGUUUUCCGUCUGUUUACCUGAUGGUUUACUAAAGAGGUGAAGAAGUCUGUGGCUGAAUGAACACAUUGAAUAAUUGCAGAGACUUAAAUUCUCAAAUAUUCAUAAAAAUAUUUUACCUUUUUUUUUUUUGAGAUGAAGUCUCACUCUGUUGCCCAGGCUGUAGUGCAGUAGCAUGAUCUCGGCUCACUGCAACCUCCGCCUCCUUCAAUUCUCCUGCCUCAGCCUCCUGAGUAGCUGGGACUACAGACACAUGCCACCAUACCUGGUUAAUUUUUGUAUUUUUAGUAGAGGCAGGGUUUCUCCAUGUUGGUCAGGCUGGUCUCGAACUCCUGACCUCAGGUGAUCCACCCACCUCGGCCUCCCAAAGUGUUCGGAUUACAGGUGUGAGUCACCAUGCUUGGCCAUGCCGGUUGUUUCUGCUGCUUGCUGUGUAGACCGCUGUGAUGACCAUCUUCUUAUUGACCCUCCUUUGUCUCUGGAGCCCCGCCACCUGCCUUCUACCUGGAGCCUUCCUUCCAGGUCCUUCUUCAACAUCAGCUCCAGGAUCUGCAAGAUCUUUGGAUAUGGCCGCUGCAGAAGGAAGGAGAACCACUUCCUGGAGAAGCAGGAGUGAGCCAGGAUCUGCCACACAAGAGAGCCGGGAACCCAGGGCAUGGGUUAAGGCGAGGAGCAGGUCCGGAGGGAAGAUCUGAGGCAAAGAGGUAGAGUUCACAGGUCCUACACCCCUCGCACCUACACAGUGUCCCUCCUCUGAUGCUGAGGCUCUCUCUGCCUUCCGAGGAGAAAGUGGCGACGUGUCCUGUGAAACCGCAGACUUAACACAUCUUCCAAAAGCCAGCUUGGCAGGAGGUCACUGCUAGAAGCACCUCUGAAAUAAUCUGAGCCGUCUUACCUGUUCCCCUUUUUCAGAUGGGAACACUGAGGCAGCCACCCUGCAGAGUGAGUCUGCAGUGCUCCUGAGCCACCCCCCUCCAGGCUUGGCAAACUCACUGCCUUCUUGUCUGUUGCCUUGACUGCAGGGAGGACCAGAGGUGCUCAUUUCUGGGAGGGUCUAGGAUCUGCCAGCUGCACAGUGUCCAAGUCAAGGGCUUCAGCAACGACAAUUAACAAAUUCCUUUCUCUUUGCAGAGAGCCUGUCACCUGUGCUGCCUUGAGAUGCUGACAUCUGAGGAUGCCCCAGACAGGGCCUGUGGCUGCUUUCUGAAAUAGUGCAGCACCUUCUCUGCUUCCUCCUCAACCUUCUCCUUCACAGCAGAACCCUGCCUCCUUCCUCUCCCCACAGGCUUGUUUCAGCAUUGAUUUGAUCAACUGAGCACCACGAGAACACAAACCACAUUCCUUUGUUUUUUCAUCACGUUACCCCCAGCACUUAGGACAGUGCCUGGCACAAAGGAGGUAGUCUGUAAAUAUUUGCGUAAUGAAUGAAUAAAGGAGGGCAUGAGUACAUCUCCUCUGCCCAGCACGG